Megalopta genalis is the source of this 752-nucleotide non-coding RNA. The record is from RefSeq and is a predicted model, not a curated record. Lineage: Eukaryota; Metazoa; Arthropoda; Insecta; Hymenoptera; Halictidae.
CAGCACCAGCCAGCAUUCAGCAGCAGCAGCCUCGUCGUGGCUAAAGGGGCUUCGGGAUGUCGUACCGCGAGCGCUAGUCCGUCGCGGUGUGUCGUCGUGUUACAAUCGUAUCCUCGUCCGCGUCCUCGUCCAUCGUCCACGUCGCGUCGUGUCGCGUCGACGAUCACAGGUGCUGGGUGCCAGGUGUUUUCGAUCCGUUGCACGCGGUUUACGGUGAUCGGCCGCCGCGCCGCAGCCCGGCUAUCGUUAUCGAUUAAUCAAAACGCGGAGAGAGGCCGGACGACGACGACGGGGCGCGCGCGACCGAUGUGAGAAAAUCAUAGUGAACGGCGAACAAAACGCGGGCUCCAGAGUGAUCCCCCAGGGACGUUCGUUCGAUCGGUGCUGGUUGCCUUCGAGAAUCCCCGACGAUCGUCGACGAUCAUCAACGAUCACCGACGAUCUUUGACCAGCCGAAUCGUCGGCGAAGUGCGUGAACUCGCAAGUGAAUUGGGGGAACGGGAGUGCAGUGGGAUAAAUGUUUCAUGGACAGAGGUGGUCUUCUUCUCCGUGCAGGUAAUACCGAGAAGGACUCGUCUCGGCUGCGAUCGAAGGGCUCCGCGGAUCCUCGACGAUAUGUCCCCGGAAAUCCACGGACUCCCGUGAAAAAAUAAGCAUCGAGGUCUGUGAUCGGAACGGCGAGAAAAUGGCAGACACUCUGGGAAGAAGACGGUACCUGACGAUCAGCAUACUGCACAUCAUCACCAUCAUGU